ACCUGGGGCUGGAGAGAUGGCUCAGUGGUUAAGAGCAUUGCCUGCUCUUCCAAAGGUCCUGAGUUCAAUUCCCGGCAACCACAUGGUGGCUCACAACCAUCUGUAAUGAGGUCUGGUGCCCUCUUCUGGCCUGCAGGCAUACAUGUAGAAAGAAUAUUGUAUACAUAAUAAAUAAAUAAAUAUUUAAAAAAAAAGUUUUUCUCUUAUGUAACAAAAGAAAUAGAAGAGUAAUGCAAACUUAAAACUAUCUAAUGAAUACUGUUUUUUAAGUUUUAAAUUAAAUUUGUAAGCUAUACAGAUUGAUCCUGUUGAGGUUACAAAUUAAGCUGUCUUUUCCUUUCAGAUUCUCAAUCAAAUGGUUUUCCUGUCAACCGCCAGUAGGUAAGAUACCUGAAACCAACACUUCUUUCUGCAAUCACUCUCUCCAUCUUGAUAGUUUGAAAUGCAGACUCUUCAAAAGAAUAAAAUUAAGGGACUGGGUGGGAAUGGGAGUAACCAGAAGCCUAGAACAAGGAAAGUUAAAAUUAGACAUUGCACCAAUCAGAAGCGCAAACUUCCACUAUGAACAUCUAUCGUGUUGUAAGUAGUCAACACAAAUGAUUCUCCACACAAUGCAGCUCUUAGAUGUAAACACAAAGUGCCCAUCAUGUCGUAAACAUGCUAAUAUUUUCAUUCUCCUUACUAUUCCGGCAAUUUUCCUGCUUUGAAAUGUUUUCUUACCCACUGACAACACAGGAAUUUUUUUUUUUUUUAGAAAAAACAAGACAAAGCCUAUUUUUAAAAAGGACUGUCUCAUCUCAAUAUCUCUAAAACUAAGCAUUGAAGCUAAAAUGAAACACACGCGAGUGUUACACGACAUAUGCCGUUAUGAUAACCAAAUUCUGUCCCCAAUCUGACAACUAAUGCUUACUGAGUAACUGUUUAUUAUUAUCUGUGAACUGUCAGUAUCUGUGCGCAGUUCCACACAUAGGUUAAUUCAUCCAGUUGUCAAGAACCUGGGAAUGUUAAUGACUGCACUUUAGAAAAAGGCACGGAGAAGUUGUUGCCCGCUAGGUUAACACAUUUUGUGAGUGAAGAAUCAAGAACAGAGCCCCCAAAGCUUGACUGUACAUCCCACGUGCUUCUCCAUUACGUGUGACUUUUCUAUUUCAUCAAGCGCUACAGCCACCUGGUACCAAGAGUGGGUAUGUGUGCAGAAACAGGUUCCCAGUGUGUUGCAACUGUGACGGGCAGCAGUUACAAAACCUAUUCCCGUCUUGAUUUGAAUUUGGCAAAAACAAAACAAAACCAUUUCAUGGAACCAGUGGCUCACCAUAAAAUUAGAAUCCCCUCCCCUUGUCAAGUGGGCAGAGAACAAGUAGCUUCAUUUUCUUAAAACAGCGCCUUAUGCCUUUCUCUUCAGAGGUAAUUUCUGCCAGCUCUUGAGGACAAAUAACCUGUGCUCCUAAGUUUUCAGUUCACUCCCUGAACGGGGAACACUUGGGUCUCCCCUUUGGUCUGAACUGAAAGGCAAGCAGUCCUUCCACCUUCCUAGCCUUCGCUGUCGGCUGUCGAAGGGGAGGGAGCGCAGGCCAAUCACAAAGGCUAGGAAGCAGGAAAGCAGGAGAGGCCAGGCGUCUUUCCGACACGGUCACCCCGCGGCCGGGGACAGCCAUCCCGCGGUGACUCGGGGAGGGGCGGAGUGUCACGGGCGUGCACUGCCCGCGGACCGCCACGCCCCCGGAGGCUCGCUUCCCGCCGUAGCCCACCCUGGCCUCCGGACUGCUCUCGCCCCGGGAUGUCACCUGUGCCGUCGACACGAAGUCGUGUCAACACCUUUCCAUCCCAUCAGCUUACAGCUGCAGCGCAGCGAGCGCCCCGGUCCCAGGCCAGCACGAGACCGCCAUCUUAGACAGCUCCAGCCAGCGGCCAUUUCAGAGCGGCCCCCUCGCGGGCGCCUCUGCCCUCACCUUCAGCGAGCCCUGAACCAGGUUUAGAGCCAGCCGUCUCGGACUGGAGGGAGGAGCGAGGGAUGAAAAACAAAGCCGGGGGAGGAGGAUGCGGGGCGGGGUGAUGCUGUCAGCUCGGGGAUACCCUACGACGCCUCAAAGGCUUUCGAUCUUGGGACUGAAAAUCCCUUCAGUGCUCCGCGGCGGCCAGACGCUACGAUCUGAGCGACUUCGCCGCCGUCCAAUCAGCGCCAGAGUUUAUCCUUCGUCACCAGUCCUCGCUGAGCACUGAGGCGGGACUAAGGGUCCAGGCUUGGUAGAGGCGCCGGGCGGCUGAGCUCCGGGUCCGCCGCUGGGUCAGGAGCGGAUUCCCGGGCUCCGCAGUUCCACCUGGGUGAUGCUGCCAGCUAGGCGGAGCCCAGGCCGGCUUUUCCCUCAGCUCAGGUGGCCUGAGCGGGCGGCGCUGUCGGGUGUGGAUCGGAAGCUCGCGAGCCGGUGCUGCUGGAUCUCAGCCCCACUCCAUUGCCCGGACGUUCAGCACCGGGAAGCGGGAAAACUCACUUUCUCCCCUCUGCAUCAUCCUCGGCCAUGGCAAUCAGGCCCUGCCGAGGUCAAGUCUCCUGUAGUCAGGUCUCCCAUGUGGCCCAGGGGUGAGACGAAGGGGAAAGUCCUUAGAUCUUUUUCUCUUUCUGAGGUGCCUCUCAGUUACCGACUCAUCCCUGACCCCUCCGCUGGUGGGCUGCAUUUGCAUUUUUAAGUCGUCCAUCUUCGUCCCCUCUUUUUCCCAAAAGGGCGAGGUUAGGAUUGAGGCCGUGUGCGCUCUUCUCUUUGCUAUUGUGUGGCAUCCCUGUAGAUCCGAAGGCUUUCCCCAGAUCGGCACCUUGAAAUAGACGCAGUGUGUGAAAGUACAGGUCGUAUUAGACACUGGGUUUCGUUAUUUUCAAAAUAACAUUUUGGCCUUUUGAGACUUCACAGAAAUGGCUGAAGGUUGGGUCGUUUAUUUCAGACCCUGCAAGCAACGACAGAAAAUUCUCCAUUUGGCAUUAACACCGAGGGGAGAUUCUCUUUUUCUUAAACAUGCUUCUUCAACUUG
Molecule: long non-coding RNA, 3021 nt
Organism: Alexandromys fortis (reed vole)
Lineage: Eukaryota; Metazoa; Chordata; Mammalia; Rodentia; Cricetidae
Exons: 2
Source: RefSeq, a predicted model, not a curated record